UUCCUGGUGGCUCAGAUGGUAAAGAAUCUGCCUGCAAUGCAGGAGACAGGGGUUCAAUUCCUCUGUUGGGAA
Non-coding RNA from Bos taurus (domestic cattle), 72 nucleotides. The record is from Rfam. Lineage: Eukaryota; Metazoa; Chordata; Mammalia; Artiodactyla; Bovidae.